CCCUCCAUUUUUUUCCCUCCGUUGAUUUUGGGCCCUAAACUACUUCGUUUUUUAGAGCCAAUUAACACUUUAUUCCCCUUUCCCAUUUCAUUUUGCAAUAACCCUAACUCCUUCAGCCGCUCUUUCUCCUUCCAUCACAGCUCUCUCACCCUUCCAUCACCGGUCUCGCCCUUCCAUCACCGGUCAUCACAACUCUCUCCUUCCAUCACCGGUCAUCACAGCUCUCUCUCCUUCCAUCACCGGUCAGCGUUCCAAAACUGGUGGCUUGGUUUAGAGAGACAAAGUCACACACACACAGAGAAAGAGUCGUCGUUGGGGGCUUCCAAAACCUCGUCUACACUAAUAGAUCGGACGAGAAUUUUUUUAGAGUCGGCAGACGACUCUCUUCGCGAAAGCCCUAGCUCCUUGCCCCUGACCACUGGACAUCGCGAAAGCCUUGGAUAGCUCCUUGCCUCCUCCUUACAACUUUUUGAAGUCUAAACAAGGAAGGAUAAAUAAUAAGCUGACAAUGAAACGAACGGUUAGUGAAGUGGAAAAAGUGAGUGAACAAAAAGGGGGUCACGUGCUACUGAUGCUGCUACUUCACAGAUGAUUGGUUCUAAUUCUUUAAAUUCUCCUCCUAGACCUCCAAAUUCAUUUUCUAGUCGUGAUGCCAAUUCAGUUAAGGUUAUGAACUUUUUUAAUUUCUCUUAUAUGUUAAGUUUCCAUUUAUUAUAAUGUGCGCUUAAUGAAUUUAUAAAAAAUGUAAGGUAAUUCAAAUCAAAUGGGCGAGAAAACUUAUUGAAGUUGAAGUUGAAGUUGAAGCUGAAGAUGGGGGAGUGGAUGUGCUUUCUGAAUUUCUUUCGCCGUGGAUGACUUCUUUUUGAAAAACUUGUACUACAUUUGUCAAAAAUUCUUAAUUCUUUUUAUGUGACAUUUAGUAGCUUUAUCUAGACAAUUUGGAUUGUAUCUUCAUAUUGGCAGGUUAACUUGUGGUUAUAUAACACUUUCGCUUUUUGGUUGA
Molecule: long non-coding RNA, 1003 nt
Organism: Cornus florida
Lineage: Eukaryota; Viridiplantae; Streptophyta; Magnoliopsida; Cornales; Cornaceae
Exons: 4
Source: RefSeq, a predicted model, not a curated record